Mastomys coucha (southern multimammate mouse) is the source of this 4536-nucleotide long non-coding RNA. RefSeq lists it as uncharacterized. NCBI's taxonomy places the organism in Eukaryota, Metazoa, Chordata, Mammalia, Rodentia, Muridae. The record is from RefSeq and is a predicted model, not a curated record. The transcript is spliced from 2 exons.
AGGGCCUAGAGGAUUGUGACUCUGGAUGAAGGAAAGGACGUCCUCCUUGGACAGCUUGUCUGGAUCCUGGGGCUUCUGGGAGUCACGCAUGUGGAAGCCAUCUCCCCACUCCCAGAAGAGCCGGCUGUUGUAGCAGCUUCCAAUGGCCAAGCCCAGACGGCUCAAGAGGAUGGCAGAUGAUAACUUCCCUAAGGCCUGUCCUGAUCCUUACCACUACAAGGUGACAUCUCCAGCCUAUAGGGUACACAACAGAGAGGCCAUGCUUACCUGCUGAGAACACUAUAUGGGCAUCUACAAUUUCAUCUCUCCCUGCCCCCAGCCAAAGACCAGAACAGGCCCAGUUGGGGUGUUUCCAACGGGUACCUCAGAAACUGCCAGCUGACUGCUGUCCGCCUCAACAAGAAAGUCGGAGUCAAACCACCCUUGCUGGGUAAGGGCAGGGGACGGUCAUUCAGUACCUACCAUUUACAGUCCUGACAAUGUAGACGCCUGUGGGCACAAAGUGCCGGUCGUCCCGUCCUGUGUAGCUGAGCUUUGGGGUGCCACCAGAGCCUUUGAUGAGCUUCAUUUCUAACCUGGUUUCCCCAAAUGGAUGAGCAUCCAGGAAGCACAUGCACAAGGGACAGACAGAGUUGGGCAUGCUAGUGUUAGUCUCCGGGUAAUUCACAGUGACACUAACUUCACUGUUCUAUCCUGGCUUGGCAGAAGAAACCAAAGCACAGGUCCUUAAGCAUACUGCUCCAAGCCAUGCUAGGGAGAGCUGGUAGCAGAGCUGAGGGUAGAGCACAGGCUCUGCAUUCCAGUCAAGCAAUGGGUGAAGAGGUGUUGCCCCUCAUCCAUACCGACAGGGGAAACCAGACACCAGUCGCACCACUUGGUCUUCAGAGGACUGCUCUGGGGCUCUCUCACAGUGGGACUCAUUUGCUGAGUGUGGUAGGCACACUGAAGGUCUAUGAAACGCAUCUAUGUCCUCUGGGAUUUAGGGAUGCCCAUUCUUCCUUCCCCCUGCUUAUUCCCUCCAGCUUCCAAUGGCCAAGCCCAGACGGCUCAAGAGGAUGGCAGAUGAUAACUGCCCUAAGGCCUGUCCUGGUCCUUACCACUACAAGGUGACAUCUCCAGCCUAUAGGGUACACAACAGAGAGGCCAUGCUUACCUGCUGCAAACACCACAUGGGCAUCUACAAUUUCAUCAUCUCUGUUUGCGAGGACAAUCUUAACUAUUCCAGUAUUAAUUCUGGCCAUACUUCUGCCUGACAUAAAGUCGCCCUGCUUCCUUCCUGUUAGGUGCUGAGCUGGCUCACAGCUGGGACUCACCAGCUUAUCAGUGAGGGAGUGUAAGUGUGUGAUAGGCAAUGCCAGGGCCAGCUCUAUAACCACCCUGCAGAUAGAAUGAGUCUUGACUCAGCUAUCCAUCCCACCACCAACCUAAAGCACGUGGAUAAAUGACUCACCUGACAAAGAUCUUCUCCAUCUCUUCUAGCCGGUACACCUCCUUCACCCUGUGCAGAGCAGAUGGCACAGCUUCCUGAGAUAUGCUUGUGAAAGGUAUGAUAGGGAGGUCCAUACCUACCCUUGUCCUCAGACACUCCCUGCAACCAGCAGCCCACAAGAAUAAGGCUGCUGAGCCUGUGGCAUUACUAUCCUACAGCCUGCCUAGACUUCAGAGCUACCACAUGGGCCCCUGAGACGGCACCAGUGGCUGUGAUUCAGCAGUAAGUCCUGAAGACGGGGGUUAAAAGAGGAAAAAUAUUGCAGGCACAUUUCUCUAACCAUACCCUUAUUCUCACGUAACCUUCACUGACACUACAGGCCACAAGUCCUAGCUCUAUUUACAUCGAUGUAAGAUCUUCCCAUAGCUUAAUUAUUCUAAAUGGCCCUGGUAGUCCUAUUCUUGCAGGCACAGACCUUAUACAGAGUAUAGGGCUCUAGUCUGAGGCCCAGCCCUCCACAUCUGGGGGCAGCAAACCUGCCUUGAGAACCGCUGCUGGGUAAGCUGCCUGUUGAAACUAGCAGGCAGGACAUCAUACAGCACAGGUUAAGCUCACUUUGAGACUGUCCUGCAUCCUCAAUGCUGGGUUCAAUUUUAAAUUUAUUGAUGAGCAUUACCAACACUUCUCUGCUAAUGUAGAUAAGCACCUUACGCUCCGAUGCUCUAAGCCUCUGACCUGGAGAAGGUAGUCUCCAUCUAUGUCUCUCCUGCCUGGAACUUUCACCCUAACGCUCACUGUUGACAGGGCCCUCUUUCUCCUCAAGCACCAAGUUUCAUAGUCAAAUCCCCAUUCCAUGCAGUCAGCUAAGGAUGCUCAAAUGUGAAUGGGUAACUCACAGGGCAGACAUGCAUCUCAAAUUAGGAGACCUUAACCCAUCCUCCCACUGAACCCUGUCGUGCCACACAGGAUAGGAGAAGUAAGCAACAGAAAGCCACAACCCCACGGGCUCUGGGAGGAGACCGACACACUCACCUGAUAGGAUUCAUGUCCGGUCGACUGGGUUUAGAAACUGCUUUCACGAAUUUCUCAGCAAGCUGAAUCCUAUAAUCCAAACGUAAUCCUUAGAGGCAAGCCAGGGCCUCACCUGUGCUGAGGCAUUUCUGCCAGAUAGAUGAGAGGACCUGGACCUACACAAACCAUCCAAGUGGCAGCAUUCAUGUCCCCAGAGCACAAUCUGUCCUGUGGAUUCUGACCUCUGAUUUCCCUAAAGUGUCCUACUGUGUUCAGUCAUCUCCACGAGGACUUUGGGUGUUGUUAUAGUAUACACAUGUACUGUACCUCUAGCUAGCCCAGGUAUACUAAACUGAGCCCACACUCUGGCCAUGAUUUUUAUAAGAAACCUUCCCUCUUCAAACAAGAUUACCCUUGUUCAAUCUUCACACAAAAAAAUGACCUCAGUAAUCUAAGCAACUGUGGCAUGAUGCAGUGUGCUAGAAUCUGACAACUGAGGCCCACAUCUCAACAAGCUGCAAGGCCAGCCGGUCUUCCCUCCUGCCUGGGCCCAGCCUGCUGUGGCCAUGAGCAGUCCUCCCUCCCCAGGGCCCAGGCCCACCGCUGGUUGAAGUGCUGCUCUCGGACGUCACUGCCGUUCAGCACCAGGACAUCAAGGAUGUGGAUUGCGCUGAUCUUCCGCUGGGCCUUCCCCUACAAGGACAAGCAUGCUGUCUGCUGUGCAGGUGCUGGCCUUUGGCCUGCUCUGCCUAUCAUGUGUGCCAUGCUGGUCUUCAACCACCCAUUGCUAAACUAGGGAAAGGCUGCAUCUAGCCUCCCUGCCAAAUGGUCCAGAGCAGAGGCUAGCUUGGGCUUGAGAGCAGGCUUUUGAGAGGAGAGCCUUCAUGAGCCUCAAAUCCAGUAAGAUUGCCGCCAUGUUUGCUGUAGCCAGAGCUAGCUUCCCACUGUGACCUGCUCACAUGGAAUGUUCUGAAUGUCAUACCUACCCUGUCAAAGCUCCCAAAACAUGUCAAGUCUUUUCUAAGGGGUUCCUGCUUAAGUUGGCUACUAAAAACACUAGUAGGAUCCAAGGACUGAAGACAGAUUUUCUGAGUCUGCCCCUUCCCAGCCCCUCCUACAGUAUAAGACAACGGCCUUGGAAUGAUUCUACCACACCGUGAAGCCUAACUAAGGUGAAGGCUAGUCUUCACAGGGCCAUCUUUGAACAGAAACCCUUCUGACCUCUCCUUUUAGUUCAUGCACAAUUUCCACACAGAGCAGUGUGUCCCUGGGCAGCUCCGUCUUUAGGUCCAGCUUCACCCAACGGUCAGACUGGCGGCCAUCCCAAGUGUAGAUCUGGGACUUCUGCAGGCAGAGAGAAGGGAGGACAUGGAGACUAAGCAUGGGAGGCUCUGUUCUCAAAGGAGCCUUUCUGACUUGGCAGCUGCAAGCAGACAGGGUGGCUAAUUUCAGUGGCAAAGGUCUAGGGGAGGUGAGUUUUAUGACACUUUUCCACCACCCAGCAAAAGUCCUUCAUCAAGUUCGAUAUCCAUGUGGAAGUUAGGAUUACAGGAAGAAGAGAAAGCAAAGGGAGAACAAGACAAAAUGGACACAAAGAAGUGACUGGGGAGAAGUCAACUACAUGGCAGGAUGCAGGGUAGGAGAGUGCAAAGGUUGCCUAGUCAAGGAAGAUGUAAAGCUAAGAGGUCCUUCAUCCCUCCUUCCAUUAACCCCAAUGGCUCAGAAGAUGAAAAGAGGUGUCUUCCUGACAGUCAGUGAACGGCAGGGGUGGGAUUGCAGAGACCUGGCUACCCAGCAUCAGCCAGAUGCCCUACUGGCUCUGCAGCUCAGGAAAAGCAACAGCCAGCCGGGCAGUGGUGGCCCAUGCCCUUAAUCCCAGCACUUGGGAGGCAGAGGCAGGCGGAUUUCUGAGUUCAAGGCCAGCCUGGUCUACAGAGUGAGUUCCAGGACAGCCAGGGCUACACAGAGAAACCCUGUCUCGAAAAAACAAAACAAAACAAACAAAAAAAAAUUUAAGAAAAGCAUCAGCCUUCCCUUCAGCUUGGCAAAGCUAGGCAGCGGGAAAGAAACAAAUAAAUGAAGAAACAAAAGCGUGA